CUACGGGAGGCAGCAGUGGGGAAUAUUGGACAAUGGGGGAAACCCUGAUCCAGCAAUGCCGCGUGUGUGAAGAAGGCCUGCGGGUUGUAAAGCACUUUCGGUUGGGAGGACUGCUUCUAGCACUAAUAUUGUUGGAAGUUGACGUUACCUUCAGGAGAAGCACCGGCUAACUCCGUGCCUGCAGCCGCGGUAAUACGGAGGGUGCACAGCGUUAAUCGGAAUUACUGGGCGUAAAGCGCGCGUAGGCGGCUAGAUCAGUCGGGUGUGAAAGCCCCGGGCUUAACCUGGGAACUGCAUCCGAUACUGUCUAGCUUGAGUACAGGAGAGGAGAGUGGAAUUCCACAUGUAGCGGUGAAAUGCGUAGAUAUGUGGAGGAACACCAAUGGCGAAGGCAGCUCUCUGGCCUGAUACUGACGCUGAGGUGCGAAAGCGUGGGGAGCAAACAGGAUUAGAUACCCGAGUAGUC
RNAcentral lists this ribosomal RNA (466 nucleotides) under uncultured bacterium. RNAcentral's name for it is "partial 16S ribosomal RNA". It matches the Rfam family "Bacterial small subunit ribosomal RNA", at positions 339 to 795 of the family's 1533-position model. The record is from RNAcentral.